UCUGGUGAUGAUGGCAGAGAGGUCACACCCGUUCCCAUACCGAACACGGAAGUUAAGCUCUCUAGCGCCGAUGGUAGUUGGGACCUUGUCCCUGUGAGAGUAGGACGUCGCCAAGC
This 116-nucleotide ribosomal RNA is filed under the name Bacillus anthracis (anthrax bacterium). The record is from RNAcentral. Lineage: Bacteria; Bacillati; Bacillota; Bacilli; Caryophanales; Bacillaceae. RNAcentral also lists the same sequence under 9 other names.